AUUGAACGCUGGCGGCAGGCCUAACACAUGCAAGUCGAGCGGUAGCACAGAGAGCUUGCUCUCGGGUGACGAGCGGCGGACGGGUGAGUAAUGUCUGGGAAACUGCCUGAUGGAGGGGGAUAACUACUGGAAACGGUAGCUAUACCGCAUAACGUCGCAAGACCAAAGAGGGGGACCUUCGGGCCUCUUGCCAUCAGAUGUGCCCAGAUGGGAUUAGCUAGUAGGUGGGGUAACGGCUCACCUAGGCGACGAUCCCUAGCUGGUCUGAGAGGAUGACCAGCCACACUGGAACUGAGACACGGUCCAGACUCCUACGGGAGGCAGCAGUGGGGAAUAUUGCACAAUGGGCGCAAGCCUGAUGCAGCCAUGCCGCGUGUAUGGAGAAGGCCUUCGGGUUGUAAAGUACUUUCAGCGGGGAGGAAGGCGAUAAGGUCAAUAACCUUGUCGAUUGACGUUACCCGCAGAAGAAGCACCGGCUAACUCCGUGCCAGCCGCCGCGGUAA
Molecule: ribosomal RNA, 503 nt
Filed under: uncultured bacterium
Lineage: Bacteria
Description: partial 16S ribosomal RNA
Rfam family: Bacterial small subunit ribosomal RNA
Source: RNAcentral